RNAcentral lists this ribosomal RNA (384 nucleotides) under uncultured bacterium. RNAcentral describes it as "bacterial SSU rRNA". It matches the Rfam family "Bacterial small subunit ribosomal RNA", at positions 29 to 414 of the family's 1533-position model. The record is from RNAcentral.
AUUGAACGCUGGCGGCAUGCUUUACACAUGCAAGUCGAACGGUAACAGGGAGCUUGCUCCGCUGACGAGUGGCGAACGGGUGAGUAAUGCAUCGGAACGUACCCAGUCGUGGGGGAUAACGUAGCGAAAGUUACGCUAAUACCGCAUACGUCCUGAGGGAGAAAGCGGGGGACCGUAAGGCCUCGCGCGAUUGGAGCGGCCGAUGUCGGAUUAGCUAGUUGGUAGGGUAAAGGCCUACCAAGGCAACGAUCUGUAGUUGGUCUGAGAGGACGACCAGCCACACUGGGACUGAGACACGGCCCAGACUCCUACGGGAGGCAGCAGUGGGGAAUUUUGGACAAUGGGCGCAAGCCUGAUCCAGCAAUGCCGCGUGCAGGAAGAAGG